AUUGAACGCUGGCGGAAUGCUUUACACAUGCAAGUCGAACGGCAGCACGGGGGCAACCCUGGUGGCGAGUGGCGAACGGGUGAGUAAUACAUCAGAACGUGCCCGGUCGUGGGGGAUAACGUAGCGAAAGUUACGCUAAUACCGCAUACGAUCUGAGGAUGAAAGCGGGGGACCUUCGGGCCUCGCGCGAUCGGAGCGGCCGAUGUCAGAUUAGGUAGUUGGUGGGGUAAAGGCCUACCAAGCCGACGAUCUGUAGCUGGUCUGAGAGGACGACCAGCCACACUGGGACUGAGACACGGCCCAGACUCCUACGGGAGGCAGCAGUGGGGAAUUUUGGACAAUGGGCGCAAGCCUGAUCCAGCCAUUCCGCGUGCAGGACGAAGGCCUUCGGGUUGUAAACUGCUUUUGUAUGGAACGAAAAGGCUCUGGCUAAUACCUGGGGCUCAUGACGGUACCGUAAGAAUAAGCACCGGCUAACUACGUG
RNAcentral lists this ribosomal RNA (484 nucleotides) under uncultured bacterium. RNAcentral describes it as "partial 16S ribosomal RNA". It matches the Rfam family "Bacterial small subunit ribosomal RNA", at positions 30 to 507 of the family's 1533-position model. The record is from RNAcentral.